AUGCACAGCCGGGAAGAUAGCGGUGUCCUGUACCUACAAUCCGCUUUAGUAGGGGUGAUGUCUUGCCUAGGGUGUUCAUUUGCUUGGCAGUCUGGAGUAAGUGGUGUUGAAGCGGGGGUCCCCACGCAAUGGAAACUUUCGAACCGUGUCAGGACAGGAAUGUAGCAGCACUAAGGAAGACCUUUCAUGUGCCGUGAGAUAGCCGCCGCAGAGCUAACUGCUUUUGUAACGCUUGUGAAUGGCAUUCGAAGCAAGACGUGCAU
Molecule: non-coding RNA, 263 nt
Organism: Lachnoanaerobaculum sp. ICM7
Lineage: Bacteria; Bacillati; Bacillota; Clostridia; Lachnospirales; Lachnospiraceae
Source: Rfam